UUUGUUUGGAGAGUUUGAUCCUGGCUCAGGACGAACGCUGGCGGCGUGCUUAACACAUGCAAGUCGAACGGAAAGGUCUCUUCGGAGACACUCGAGUGGCGAACGGGUGAGUAACACGUGGGCAAUCUGCCCUGCACACCGGGAUAAGCCUGGGAAACUGGGUCUAAUACCGGAUAGGACCACUUGGCGCAUGCCUUGUGGUGGAAAGCUUUUGCGGUGUGGGAUGGGCCCGCGGCCUAUCAGCUUGUUGGUGGGGUGACGGCCUACCAAGGCGACGACGGGUAGCCGGCCUGAGAGGGUGUCCGGCCACACUGGGACUGAGAUACGGCCCAGACUCCUACGGGAGGCAGCAGUGGGGAAUAUUGCACAAUGGGCGCAAGCCUGAUGCAGCGACGCCGCGUGGGGGAUGACGGCCUUCGGGUUGUAAACCUCUUUCACCAUCGACGAAGGUCCGGGUUCUCUCGGAUUGACGGUAGGUGGAGAAGAAGCACCGGCCAACUACGUGCCAGCAGCCGCGGUAAUACGUAGGGUGCGAGCGUUGUCCGGAAUUACUGGGCGUAAAGAGCUCGUAGGUGGUUUGUCGCGUUGUUCGUGAAAUCUCACGGCUUAACUGUGAGCGUGCGGGCGAUACGGGCAGACUAGAGUACUGCAGGGGAGACUGGAAUUCCUGGUGUAGCGGUGGAAUGCGCAGAUAUCAGGAGGAACACCGGUGGCGAAGGCGGGUCUCUGGGCAGUAACUGACGCUGAGGAGCGAAAGCGUGGGGAGCGAACAGGAUUAGAUACCCUGGUAGUCCACGCCGUAAACGGUGGGUACUAGGUGUGGGUUUCCUUCCUUGGGAUCCGUGCCGUAGCUAACGCAUUAAGUACCCCGCCUGGGGAGUACGGCCGCAAGGCUAAAACUCAAAGGAAUUGACGGGGGCCCGCACAAGCGGCGGAGCAUGUGGAUUAAUUCGAUGCAACGCGAAGAACCUUACCUGGGUUUGACAUGCACAGGACGCGUCUAGAGAUAGGCGUUCCCUUGUGGCCUGUGUGCAGGUGGUGCAUGGCUGUCGUCAGCUCGUGUCGUGAGAUGUUGGGUUAAGUCCCGCAACGAGCGCAACCCUUGUCUCAUGUUGCCAGCGGGUAAUGCCGGGGACUCGUGAGAGACUGCCGGGGUCAACUCGGAGGAAGGUGGGGAUGACGUCAAGUCAUCAUGCCCCUUAUGUCCAGGGCUUCACACAUGCUACAAUGGCCGGUACAAAGGGCUGCGAUGCCGCGAGGUUAAGCGAAUCCUUUUAAAGCCGGUCUCAGUUCGGAUCGGGGUCUGCAACUCGACCCCGUGAAGUCGGAGUCGCUAGUAAUCGCAGAUCAGCAACGCUGCGGUGAAUACGUUCCCGGGCCUUGUACACACCGCCCGUCACGUCAUGAAAGUCGGUAACACCCGAAGCCAGUGGCCUAACCCUCGGGAGGGAGCUGUCGAAGGUGGGAUCGGCGAUUGGGACGAAGUCGUAACAAGGUAGCCGUACCGGAAGGUGCGGCUGGAUCACCUCCUUUCUA
This 1536-nucleotide ribosomal RNA is filed under the name Mycobacterium kansasii. RNAcentral describes it as "bacterial SSU rRNA". It matches the Rfam family "Bacterial small subunit ribosomal RNA". The record is from RNAcentral. RNAcentral also lists the same sequence under 1 other name. Lineage: Bacteria; Bacillati; Actinomycetota; Actinomycetes; Mycobacteriales; Mycobacteriaceae.